Molecule: long non-coding RNA, 1665 nt
Organism: Mobula hypostoma (lesser devil ray)
Lineage: Eukaryota; Metazoa; Chordata; Chondrichthyes; Myliobatiformes; Myliobatidae
Exons: 3
Source: RefSeq, a predicted model, not a curated record
UAAACUCCUCUGUUCGAUGACACCAUGUUCCUUUUUAUUCGGAGAUACAGCGCUGUUGACAGACUGUCGUGACACAGGGAAAACUGAAACGUAGAAUCGGCUGGGCUGGAACCCCAUUCUGAAAUAUCAAAGAGACAAGAAAAUACUCUGCAGAUGCUGGGUCAAAGCAACACUCACAACAUGCUGGAGGAACUCAGCAGGCAGCCACGAAACAAACACCAUGAAACCCGUUCAAAGAAAACAUCAAAUAUUCAACAGACAAAGGAAAAGAACAAAUCGUGCAAGUCACAAAAAUGAGUGAACAACACAGACUAAACAUCAAACUACAGAGUAAUUAAACCAGUGUAGGAAUGUUCAGUUCAGUUCAAUUCAUGAGAACCUCAAAGUCCCCCCCAGCUCCCCCACCCACAUGUAAGCGGCAGCCAGGCCACAGAGCCUAUCUGCCCCGAUCAAAUCAUACAAAAUAACAACAACAUAGGAGUAACCAGAAACCAGAAACACAUAUAAUAUGAACCGUAGUCACCUCAUUGAUUACAAUCUUGCUCAAUGCUUUAAUCGGUGAGAGCAGUGAGAAAUUGAGCCAGUCAUUCUUUGUGCUCUGCCAUACGGCCACACACUCCAUUCUGAACCUUGUGACCCUGGGCCACGUCGAAUUCCUUCGGAGGCUGCAAAACCGCUCAGUCGGCCCAAACACACAUUAUCAAAAUGUAAAUUACGGGCUCCAAUCGCACACAGAUUAGCAGUAGAGGUAUGUUUAACAGAAGAAGAAGAAGAAGUAAUUUUGUAAACUGUAUGCAGGAUGUUGCCGUUUGUCACUGGUGCACAAACUACAGACUUCCUUUCAGAGACUGAUCUCUUGUUCUCAAUAUCUAUUGCUUAUUUAUUAAUUUUUUUUUGUUUUUUUUGUUGUUUCUUUGUACUUACUGUGAGUGCCCACAAAAAAAUAAAUUUCGGGUUUGUAUUUGGUGACAUAUACGUACUUUGAUAAUAAAUUUACUGUGAACUUUUUUUGAACAGAAGGGUUGUCUUAUCACAUGCUUAUCAUUGCCUCCCUUUGUGCUCUUUUCAAUAACUGCUGCAGUGUUUGUUUGCACAACUGCCUUUGUCAUUUCAAAACCAAAAGCCUCUUUGUAAAUUACACGUAAAAUAUCAGACAAAUCGAUAUAAUUGCAAAAUUAGGGACCAUCAUUUAACCAGAGAUGUGUAAGAACUUCUUGCAGUGGGUGAUGAACUCUGGAAUUUUCUACCCGGUGGUGGGGGCUGUGUAGACUAAAUUGUCAGGAAUAUUUAAAAGAGGAAAUGAAUACAUUUUUCAAAGAUCAUGGAAUUGAUAGAUGUAAGGAACUGGGAUAGGAGUUGAAGCCUAGAGCAGGUCCACCACCAUCAUAUUUCAUGGCGCAUGCCGGUGAUAAUAAACCUGAUGCUGGUUUAAUAGUGGCCCAUACCUUCUAUUUUCAUACAUCCUUAAACUAUUACUCUUGCCAAUUUCCAGGAGGUUCUUGUGACCUACUCCAGGAAGUUGGAUGACGGGGGGAGGAUCGAGGGUUGGUGUCACGGCCGGGGACUUGUGUGUCGUAGGGGAGGCCGGAAAAUCUUUCGCUGUGGGCCCAAAGAUCCGCGGUUUCUGCGAUCUUCGGACACAGAGCUUGAAAAAAGCGACAAAAU